Molecule: ribosomal RNA, 253 nt
Filed under: uncultured bacterium
Lineage: Bacteria
Description: partial 16S ribosomal RNA
Rfam family: Bacterial small subunit ribosomal RNA
Source: RNAcentral
UACGUAGGGGGCAAGCGUUGUCCGGAAUCAUUGGGCGUAAAGCGCGUGUAGGCGGUUCGCAAAGUCUGGUGUGAAAACUUAGGGCUCAACCCUAAGCCUGCACUGGAUACUGGCGGACUUGAGUCCGGAAGAGGAGAGUGGAAUUCCUGGUGUAGCGGUGGAAUGCGCAGAUAUCGAGAGGAACACCUGCGGCGAAGGCGGGUUGCUGGGCUGACACUGACGCUGAAGUGCGAAAGCUAGGGGAGCGAACGGG